GACAGAAAUUAACCAAUAGAACUAUUAAGCAGAAAUCAGAUAUUUCUUAAUGAACUCAACAUUUACAACAUGAAAUAACAUCCCAAAACCGGUAGUACAAGUCAUAAGUUCUACUGAGUUUACUAGAAAAAUCCCUAAAUACAACUGUUCGGAAUAGAAUUAAACAGUACAAGUACAAUAUCAUAAGGUAACUCUGAGACCUGCAAACGCGGCGACAGGUUUACCUUGAGUCUCUGCAGCAAUGCUCGACCAUCUAGAUAAUAAUCAACAAUAUCCGAGGCACCUAGGUCUACACAACAAUGUGCAGAAGCGUAAUAUGAGUACACCACAGCGCUACCUAGUAAGUAUCAAGACUAACCUCGGUGGAGUAGUGACGAGGAACAGUCAAGACACCCAUUGGACUAAACAACCUAAACAAGUAUAAAUAUAGAACUAACUGGGAACGAUAUCAAUAUAAAGCUAGGCAUGAUGACAAUAAUAAUACAAUGUUGGUAAUAGGGACUAAGGCCUCAUUUGUUUUUUUAAGAUUAAGACGUCCGAAUCUGAAUACGCGUCUGAAUAUCAAGAUGUGUAUUAAGAUUAAGACAUCUGAAUCUGAAUACACAUCUGAAUGUUAAGAUGUGUAUUAAGAUAUAAAUACUAAAUGAUUAAGACUAUUUGAUUUUUAACAUCUGAAUGUAUAAAAUUUAUGUUUAUUUGAAAAUUAAUAAACAUAAAAUUCAAAUAAAAUACUAAUUAAUCUAAUAUUUCGUCACUAAAAUAUAUAACUUUUUAAAAUAUGAUAGUUGUUGGUGGUGAUGGCUAACGGUAGUGCUUGUGAAUGCCGACUAAAAGUGGUGGUAGAUUUGGUUAAUGGUGGUAGUUUAGGGUAGUAGCUAGUGGUGAUUAGUAGUGGUAGCUAUUAUGAUUGAGGAUGGUGGUGGUGGGUGAUGAUAGUUAAUAAUGGCAGGUGGUGAUGAUGGUAGUUGUGAUUGAGGAAGAUGGUAGUGGGUGGUGGUAGUUUAUAAUAAUGGGCAGUACCGGCUAUGGUUGUUGAUGGUGAUGGGGUGGUUAGUUGUGGUAGUUGAGGUAGAUGACUGUUGGUUGUCCUUGAGAAUGAUAGUGGUGGGAGUGGUGGGGAUGGUGGGUGGUUGUAGUCGACAAUUGUGGCGGCUAUGAUUGAGGAUGAUGGUGGUAGUAGUGGUUGAGUAUGGUGGUGGUGGGUGGCAUGAUGGUACUUGAUAACGGUAGGCGGUGGCGGCAGUUAAUAAUGAAUAUAGAUAAUAUCAUCUUAAUUAAAUUAAGUCUAUGUUAUAGAUCUUAAUGAUACAGACCAAUUCAGACCCAUUAAGUGGUUGUGAAGUAAAACAAACAAACACACUUAACGAUUAAGAUCUGAAUAACUAAGAUUCAGACUUUAAAAACAAACGCACUUAAUGCCUGAGAUCUGAAUGAUUAAGAUUCAGACCUCCAUUAAGUGCAAACAAAUGAGGCCUAAAAGCAACAGUUAGCAACGAGACACAACAGGUAAUAACACUGUAGAGUAAGCUCAACACAGUUUAAAUACGGUGAAGCCAAAUAAAUGAAGACAAGUGACAACUCAGUAGGAACAACCGCUUUCACACUAGGUUUAUCCAAGAACUUCCACGAGGUACCAAACCUCAAAAUCACAAAUCACGGGUCCCAAUUCGUGAACCCUAAUCACUUGGCAUCUUGUGCCCACAUUACAAUUCAUAACAGCAUUGCCCAAGGAGUGACGGUAUCUAAUAUCUGCAUGGACCACUCAUGUGCCAACAAUAAUAAUGACUCAUGACUGCACGGACAACUUACGUGCCAACAAGAUAACUCUCACACAUAAGGCAAGUACACGGGGGCACAUGUAAAUGGUCAAAACAUCAAGAUUCAUCUUCUGAGACCAAUAUGGGCGAUUUAUCUACGUGUAUGCUUGUGCAAGUGUUCUACCCCAAUUCAGGUCAACAAGUAAGAUAGAGACAAUGAAUGGCACAUAAGAAACGAUCACCACAAAAUGUACAGUAUAAUAAAGACAGCAAUGAAAUUGAAACAAUGAUUAGCACAACAAGAUUAGCUACAUAGAAUUAAGCAAAUAGUGCAACACGGAGAAAGACAAUUAGUGGUAUGCUAAGGAAACAAGAAGCAAAGACAAGUAUAAAAUAAUGGGGAAAUGUCAACAAGAUUCACUACCGAGGUACCGCCACAUAGUCUCAAAUCAUAAAAUGAAUCACAAUCUUUUCUUAUAUCACCGCGAGAGCCUUUAAAUUUAGUUUUAAAAAUUAUUUUUUCCGAAAUAGCAUCCUGCGUUUUAGCCCACCUUAUCACACCGUAUGGCUUCUAGUAGUUCCCAUACAAGCCAUGCGUAUCAAGCCCACCUUAUCUCACCGUAUGUGUUUCAACACCCAUACCUUAUACCACUACAUGCAUAUCAAUAAUAAUAACAGCACGACAGAAACCUCGUGCAAACACCAUAACAACAGCACGAGAGAAACCUCGUGCAAACACCAUAACAACAGCACGGCAAAAACCUCAUGCAAUCACCGAAUAAUCCUCUCAACAAUAACACGUGUACCAAAACAUAACAACUCAACAAAAUGACUUUCACAAUAUGUGCCCAAAUUUCACAACAUUUCCUCAAAAUAGUUUCAACAUCACAACCACGCAUAGCCCUCAGCUCAACAACACUGAAUACAACAACAACAACAACAACAACAACAACAACAACAACAACAACAACAACAACAACAACAACAACAACAAUAACACGAGGAUACAACAAGUAAAUCAGCUCAGGAACUUCAGAACAUAAGGAAAUGGCAGAACGAGCUCACAAAGAAAGACACAAUAGGGAAUAAUGGUGGAGGUCCCUAGCUGCAAUAAAAAAACAGCGCUAACGAGCAAGAAAGACGAAGGAAUUGCAGCCUAACCAUCUAUGAGAUCGGAGACUUCGAGAGGCUUCCCAGUCCUCUUUCAGCUUUUUCUUACUUUUUUGAGCUCUCAGCUGCUUCGGCGGUGCUUUUUCGCCUUCUCUUCGCUCUGGACAGGAGUGUGCUUCCCUCUCGCUUGACUCACUUUGAUUCUGCACUUGCCAAGUAAGAACUUUUUUCUUAAGUAGCGGUCAUGUCUUCCCCCUCCCCCCCAAUAUAGUGACCACAUUUUCUGUUGAGGUCUAUCCUGCAGAGUUACUCAAAUUAUUCUUUCCACUGCUUGAAGUGAUUGUUACGAUCACGAAGAAACGACAAAUCCCAACUACAAAUAUAUAGAUCGUAGUAGUUCGCCAAACUCGUAGAAUGUAUGAAGUCGCCCCGAGAAUAGAAGCGAGUCGCUUCCAGCCUGUCUUGUAGUCGUAGUCUUUUAGCUUAUGUAGUCGUCGGCUUUCCUACAUGCAUGCCUCCGCCAGAAUGCCUCUUUGGUUUGGGACAAAGCCAAGCCGAUACAUAUGAUAUGCGAAGGAAAGACCCCCAUUUCAUAGCUCCUGGGGAACGCAAGUUUGAUCGAGGAUUGGAGAGGAGAGGUGGAAGAAAGAGCUCAGGAUGGAUUUAGGAGUCUUUGUACGAGCCGUAUGCGGUGUGAGAAAAAGCACCUUUCGUGAUUCAAGUAGUAAAAUCAGAUACAUGAUUGAGAAAGGAAUCUUCCAAGCGCAGAUUUAGCUGAAUCUAUUAUAAGGUAUGCAUUUUUUCUAUUUAGAGAGGGGGGGGGGGGUUUCAAGUUCUGAGGAAGAGCCGUACGAGACAGAUCACGUACGGUUCGGGAGCCGAGACCCUGCGCAGGGGUUUAGGUCAACACUUAUAUAAUAGCCAGUCAUCAAUUGGAAGCGGGCAAGAUGGUGAUAAAUUGUGACUGGUCUAAACCUUCGACUAGCGACUUAUUGCGACCUUCCCAGAAUGCUCAUACAGACUAAGACCUUAUUCACACAGCGAGGAAAGGCCGAGUGGAAGGGGACAGUCAGUUGGCUGCUUUUUUGCCAUGCGUUUUGCUUCGCUUUGUUUUAUAGAAGAAAGAGAUCAAAUGAGAGUUAAAGGCAAGGGCAAGCGAUAGAAAGGGGAGUCCCUCGCGAAAUACUACUACUAGAAAAUAGUGAGACCAUUAGUGAAAGAAGGACCAAGGAGGAUCCUAUCCUAAAGGAUAAGGAGGAGUCGGAGGAGUCAGUUUUCUUUGAAGAUCGAGGAACGUAGUGUCGGACAAUUAUGUCAUUCGGAAGAAGUCUUCUACAGAAGAAAAUCCUGUUACGAGUAAGUGGAGAGGAAAGAUCUCCAAGGAUUCUUAUCUGAUUCCAUUCCAGUGGCUCAACCAGUAACCAAUGGCGAAAACUCAAAAAUACAUGGUUUCCCGGUAGAACCCUAUUUCGCCCAAGUUGUUUGAGAACCGGAAAAAAGAAGUUAGAAAGAUGUUAUUUGCUGCUAUUCUAUCUAUUUGUGCAUCAAGUUCGAAGAAGAUCUUAUCCUAUACAGAGGCCUAUAUACAAAAAAAAGUACUUUGCCUAGAAUCCCAAGUUGCCUCCCCUCUUCUCUGAGGCCGAUCGCAUUCACUCAAACUUCCAAAACAAGCAGAAACACACGUUGUCGGUUCAGCAGCUCGAAGUUCAUCUCAAUAAAAUGUCAGGUCAACCGAAGUCUACAACUCGAAAUAUGAUAAAAAUGGUGAACCGAAGUCACAUUUGACACCUGCGAUUUGCCUCUGUUCCCUCAAACACAAGAAAAAUAACAGUCUUUCCAGACACGAAAAUGGACAUAACUCUCUCAUACGACCUCGGAAUACGACGAUUCUUGCUGCUAUGGUUCUGUAAUUACGAUACAGAUCUGAUGGUUCAAUCGAAUCACAAAUCAAAGGUCGUUUCCAUAGUAUGAUACCCUUUAUGCCAAAAGAAACGACACUGAAACAUCAAAUAAGAGCGCGGCACAAUCCAAACCCAUCCGAAACCCACUCGAGCCCCAUGGGACCCCAACCAAGUAUACUAACAAGUCCCAAAAUAUGAUACGAACUUGUUCGAAGCUUCAAAUUGCCUCUAACAACAAUAGAAUCAUGAAUCGCGCAUCGAUUCAAGCGUAAGAAACUUAUGAACUUCUAAAUUCCAAAACUCAUUUAUAUGAAACCAACUCCGAUUUACUUCAAAUUUUGCACAUAAGUCAUAAAUAAAAGUACGGACCUAUUCCAACUUUCGAAUCGGGAUCUGACCCCGACAUCAAUAAAGUCAACUCCCGGUCAAACUUUUCAAAAUCUUCCAUUUUUUCAACUUUUGCCAAUUCAUGCCGAAAUGACCUACAGAUCUCCAAAUCAAUAUCCGGACAUGUUUCUAAGACCAAAAUUACCAUACGGAGCUAUUGGAACCAUCAAAACUCUAUUUCGGAGUUAACUAUACAAAAGUCAAACUCCGAUCAACCCUUACCGCUUAAGCUUCUAAAACAAGAAUUCUUCUUCCAAAUCAAUCCCGAAUCAUCCAAAAUUCAAACUCGACCACGCACGCACGUCAUAACACAUAAUACGAAACUGCUCGAGACCUUAAACCAUCAAACGGAACGUAAAUUCUCAAAACGACCAGUCGAGUCAUUAUAGAAAGUUAUAAUGAACACUAACUACACCAAAAGGAUUGAUGGUCUAUCUGGAAAAAGCUAUCGAUUGUUAAAAAAAGAGACCUUUCUGUACAAUGCUCCCUAUCUUAGUUCCUUUAGGAUAACAUAACCUUUUCAAAAAACAUUAAGAAGCUCCUAGCAGAUAUCAAAUACACCAUAAGAAUUUUAGGUCCAUCAUAAAUGAUUUUAGCAUUAAGAGAAAAUACAACAAGAUCAGACCUCUUUAAUUUAUAAGCAUAACCCUGAGGAAAUCUGGCAUGAAGGAGAAAAGAGUAGAUUUCUGAGAUUUCUAAUCCUGAUUUAUGUUAUCACAUCAUGAAAAAUGGUGGAUCAUAAGAGGAAACUUGUAACCCAAGAUCAUCUGUUAACUGCAAUGUCGUUAUCUAGAUUUUGACAACAAAUUGAUGCCUCAAUAAUAGACAGAAUAUAUGGAUUAUCGUUGAUUGUACUGUGGCAAUAACAAGAACAAAUUCUCAAAUUACACCUUUUCUUUUUUUGUCGAGGGGCCAAUCACUUUCUAUAAAGCAAAUUUCUAAUAAAAUAAAGUAAAUUUUCCUUUCAUAAAUAGAAGUAAGGAUCAUGUAUAUAGUAAAUCGAUCAUAUUAGAUCAUGACAACACCUCACUUUGGAUCACUGAAAGCAUGUGAAGCAUAAAAAAAAUCCUUUAACCAUAUAUGUACACAUGCAAAAAUUCGAUAGCAUCAUCAAAAAUCCAUUCUAAAAGGGACUCUAGAAGAAAAUCAAAGAGCUACAUACAACAUAUGAAAGAAUAACAAGCAAUCAACAAGCUAAUGAUGAACAGUUAAGUGUCAGGAAAGUAUAAAACUACAUGUACUUCUAUAAGAGAAUGAUAAAACAGACCAACUCUGAAAGGUUAUAAAAUUAUGACAUUCAAUUCAAUUUAAAAGGAACUAUAACUAAUCAUAUGGUGUUUGUUUAUUGGUGGAUUGAUAACCAAUGAGGCCUCGGAGGCAAAAAUAUUUGGUGACUCUUCCAAUUUGUCCAAGCUUUGACGGGCAGAGUUUAACCGUACUGUACUGGUGGUAAUUCCUGACCCGGACACUACGGUUAUAAGAAAAAUUCUAAUCAUAUGAAGCAUGCAACCAAAAUAUGAUCCUUUUCCAUUGUUGUCAUCUACAACCAGACAAGUAGAAGAACAUGAACAAAACAUUGAAGAUUCUUAUGUUCUUCGAGAUUAAGCAGAUAAACAGAGAACUUAGUUUAAUGUCUCUCUGAAAAAUGAACAAUCAAAUUACCUUUAUGUUGACCAGAAAACUAGCACAACUUGGAGCGCACCGCCGAGAAAUGAAGGUGGCUAGGGUUUUGGAGUGGCGGCAACUCCGCAAGCAGAGACAGAAUGGAGGCGGAGGACUCAUAGGAAGAAAAAUAUCAAUGGACAAUAGAAAAUGCAUAAAAGGAUCGGCAAUGACAUAUAGGCGC
RNAcentral lists this long non-coding RNA (7001 nucleotides) under Nicotiana tabacum (common tobacco). RNAcentral's name for it is "long non-coding RNA (NTAB_LNC012672)". The record is from RNAcentral. Lineage: Eukaryota; Viridiplantae; Streptophyta; Magnoliopsida; Solanales; Solanaceae.